This is a long non-coding RNA of Hyla sarda, 562 nucleotides long. RefSeq lists it as uncharacterized. The record is from RefSeq and is a predicted model, not a curated record. The transcript is spliced from 3 exons. Lineage: Eukaryota; Metazoa; Chordata; Amphibia; Anura; Hylidae.
CAGCAUGUCCAGCCCAUUAUUAUGUCAAUAUCAGAGGACAUUACAAGUAGGCGGUAUAAGAGGAGAGAACUACAACUCCCAGCAAGUCCAGGCUAUCAUUAUGGGAUAUCAGAGGACAUUACAGGGAGGAGGGCAACGGGUCAGAGAGGCGCCAACCGGUCAAGACCUUAUUCAGCAUACUAACUAUCCUUGAAUACGGAUCUACUUGUUCUUCUUCACUUCUUGUUGGAUCUUCACCAUGAAGUUUUUCUUCAAUUGUAUCGAUGAAUGAAUAUCUGUCACCUGGAUGUUGUCAUUCCUUAGACCUCAGACUCAAGCUACUUCCAGAUGGAUUCACUGGAUUCUACUUGUUGACUCUUCUUAGAACUUUUGUAAUUUUUAUGUUAUUUAUUCAAAGAAAGAGGAAUAUUUCAGUCAUGCAGGACCUUGUGUCACCUAGCUUGUACAUUCAUUGGCCACUGUUACGUGUAGCAUGUUCGGUUGUCUAUACCAGCAAACUGUAUACCUGUGUAUCUAAAAAGUUUUCUUGUUAUCUGUUGAAAAAACAUUUAAGAAAGAAAAU